Molecule: long non-coding RNA, 7797 nt
Filed under: Triticum aestivum (bread wheat)
Lineage: Eukaryota; Viridiplantae; Streptophyta; Magnoliopsida; Poales; Poaceae
Description: long non-coding RNA (TAES_LNC013166)
Source: RNAcentral
AGAUUUGAUCAUCACGCGGCGCCGGUGAUGGAUUGGUUGAUUCAUGAGCUCUCUGGAUUCAUGGAUUCUAGGAAGAAGAAGAUCACGGUGGAUGGAAGAUUGACCCUUAUGAUGCAUGCAUGAGGACGACUAUUUAAUUUGGGAGCUAUAUGUAUGUAAGAUAAGAUUCCAAUUGUGUGUCGUGUGUCUUAGGCUGUUCUGUCAUCAUGUUGCGUACUUAAGCUAGCUAUAUACAAUUGCCUGGUCAAAUGUUGGUACGUACGUAGAAAUCAAAUAGUUGUGCACGCAUGGGAUCGAGGACGAUGCAUACAUGUAAUAAUAAUAAGUUCAGAGUGAAUUCCACUUUUUAUAUAUCUCCCAUUUGUAAACUUUUUACCCCAUUUAAAACCCCCAGAUUGUUGCAUUGGGUCAAGCUUUACCCCAUUCAACAAUUUCCCUCGACUUUGACUAGUUAGGCCACUCGUCAUGUUUUUAGAGGAAAGGCAUACGCUUGACUUUAUAAAUAAUUUAUAAAUAAAGCCACCUGACAGAGUACAUCGAAACCACACAUACGAAAAAAGACGGCCACAACCACACGCAAGGACAAAGUACGGAGAUACACAACAUCACAGCCAAACAUCAACAACACGCAGGCCGGAUAAGUGACAUGAAGCACCACCUAGGCCACUACCUAGAGCAAAAGGAGGAUCGAAGACAACUAGCUAGCUGGGACCUGCUGCGAAAUAGAAGAAGCCGAAGCCCGAAUUUUGCCGCACUGGAGGUCGAACGCACCAUGAUCAUCAACCUUAGUCAAUAAUCUCCACCGCUGCAGAAACAUACAAGCUUUAAAUAAGCAAUUAACAGGCUUAGCAAGGAAGAUAUGCUCAAUGGUAAACUUGUUCCUAGUCAUCCAUAAUGACCAGCAAAUCGUGGCAAAACCAAUUCAGAACAUGCGUUCGGUAAUCCCAGAAAGGCCAGAUGCCAAGGUUCUGAGCUUCCAGAAGGAGGUGGGGUGCCAAGUGACACCCAGCCAAGAACGAAUACAACACCAAACCAUCCUGGCCAGAGUACACAACUGAAAAAGAUAUGAUUCGUAUCCUCCACAGCGCCACAUAAUGCACAAGUCACCGAGCUAGGCCCAUUACGCUUAUGAAUAUGGUCAGCAGCAGGAAGUCGACCCCUAAAGGCUUGCCACAAGAAGAUCUUAAUUUUUGGGGGUCUAUGGGCACGCCAGAUGGGGUGGAACUUAGUAGUAGGAACCCCAGAAAUAAGUCUAGCAUAUAAGGACUUAACCGAAAAGCGACCAGUGGCUGAAUGGGGCCAAAUCACCGAGUCCUCAUUCUCCAAGAGCACGGGGAUGAGGGAAACAAGGCACUGCUAAUCAUCAAACUCUUCUGGGGAAAGAGAACGACAGAAAGCAAAGUCCCAAUUAUUAACAGAGAGCUCAAAGAUCGAGAUCUCCGGGUCCGAAUAGUAAGAGAAAAGCGUAGGGAAAGCCACAGCAAUAGCAGAGUUACCACACCACCAAUCCGUCCAUAAUCUAACGGAUUUACCAUUGCCCACUACAAACUUGACGUGCUCUUUAAAGAUAGGGUGCAGUUUAACAAGGUCCUUCCAAAACUGGGAUCCUCCCUGGGCUCCCGCGAACAUAGGGCUAGACUAAGGAAAAUACUUAGCUUUAAGGAUAGAGAACCACAGGACUCCAUCCCACUAGUCAUGAUUUUCCACCACCACUUGAUGAUAAGGCACUUAUUCAUGACCGAGAUGUUAAGAAUUCCCAACCCCCCAAGGUUUUUGGGUCUACAAAUGGACUUCCAUUUGACCAUCCCGUAUUUACGUAUCCGCGGCAUUCCAAUAGAAGGCACCCCUAUGCUUAUCAAACCCACAGUGGGGUGCCAGCAGAAAGGAGAUAGAAGCCCAUAAUAAACACCGGCAAGGAAGAUAAGCAGGCAUUGAUGAGACACACUUUGCCAGCAUUUGUGUUAUAUCUGUCCCUCCAAGGCAUAACUCUAUUACCGACCUUGGACACAGUAGGAGCGAAUUCCUUAGCAAAUAUUCUGGCCGGAGAGAUAGGAAGGCCCAAGUACUUAAAGGGAAAGGAGCCCAACGAACAAUUUAAGAGCUGAGAGACCCGCAAAGCCUCCGCCUCCGAUGCACCAGUCACAAUAACCUCACUCUUAGAAAAGUUAAUAUUGAGACCCGAGAGAGAUUCAAAACAAAGCAAAAGAAAUUUGAGAUGGGCAAUGCAAACAUCAUUCUGCUCAACCAUGAUAAUCGUAUCAUCUGCAUAUUGGAGGUGGGUAACACCCUCUGGAAUUAGUGGGAGAUGACAGGAGAGAUGUGCCCAGCCGUAGCCGCCCUAGAUAAGAUACAUGAAAGUGCAUCCGCGACGAAGUUAAACAAGAGGGAGGAGUAUGGAUCUCCUUGCCACAGGCCCCUACCAUUGGCAAAGAAGUUGCUAAUCUUUCCAUUAACCGAGACCUAUGUGUGACACCAGUAACCAGCUGCAUGACCCUAUGCACAUAGGCACCAUCAAAUCCUUUGGCGAGGAGAACCUGACGGAGGAAAUCCCAACUAACCGAAUGGUAGGCUUUCUCGAAAUCCAAUUUCAAGAUAAUUGCCUUAGAUUUACGAGCCCUACGGUCAUGAACAAAUCUCGUGGAGGCACAUGAUACCAUCAAGGAUAAAUCUUCCUUUAACAAAAGCCGACUGGAAGGGGCUGAGUACCCUGUGGGCAGUGGGGGAGAGGCGUAGAGCAAAACCCUUGGCAAGAAAUUUAGCAAAGUUGUUGAUGAGUUCGAUCGGUCUGAAUUGAGAAAUGAGGUCAACACCUUUGAGCUUAGGAAUAAGAGAGAUAAUAGCAUAGUUAAGUCUAGAAAUGUCCACGGUACCCGAACAAAAACCCUGAAUGACAUUGUAAACCAAGGAUCAAUGACACGGCUAGAACUUCUUAAAGAAGGGGAUAGAAAAACCAUCAGGGCCCGAAGCCGAGUUGGGGUUAGUAGAACGAAUAAUAUGAACAAUCUCCUCCUCGGAGAAAGGCACGAGGAGCGCCUCAUUUUCCUUCCGGGACACCCUCCCCGAAGCGUCCCACGUAGAAGGCAAAAUCGAGAAGCCAGAGGCAGGUUUAGGAGAAAGAAGAGAGGAAAAGAAAUCCACCACGUGGGAAAGAAUAAGGUUUUGAUCCGAUACUCUGGUGCCAUCAAUAACAAGACUAUCAAUCGCGCAAUGGCGCCUUCUACCAUUAGCGAUAGCAAAGAAGUAGGCAGUGGGAGAGUCUCCCUUAAGCGUCCAAUUCAGGGAUCCCCUUUGCCUUCAGUAGAUCUCAGCAUGUCUGUGCAGCUGCACCAAGGCCUCCUCCAGAUCGUACCUAAGUUGCCACUCGUUCGCAGACAAACCACGCCCAUCAGCCAACACAUGUAAAGCCGAAAUCUGGUCCAGCAGACCAGACUUACGCCUACGGGCCUCAGCAGCCCUGUUCCGAGCCCAGCCACGGAAGAAUUUCCUAAGGGAAUACAAACAAUGGUGCCAAUCAUCCAUAGGCCUGAAGGAGCGCCUAUUAGGGGCAAGUAAGGAGGAGAUCUUAUUGGAAAUUAGAUUGCAAAUGCCCUCAACCAACAGCCAGGAAGCAUCGAACUGGAACCGAGACGUCAACGGAGGGGAGUCCAGGCCCGCAUCUUGGAUAAGGGGAGAAUGAUCGGAGCCAAUAAUGGCCCUCAUUUUCAAAGUAGCAUGAGGGAAUAGAGAAUCCCAUCUACAGCAGACAAAAACACGGUCCAAGACCGACCUAACAGAGUCGAUCUGAUGGCUAGUCUAGCUGAAACGAGCACCAACCCGAGGAAGUUCACGAAGAGCACAGUCCCGUAUGAACCCAUUGAAAGAAUCCGCGAGAGGCCAAGAAAAGUGACUGCUGCUCUUGUCACUAGGAGAACGGAGCAGGUUAAAAUCUCCCCCAAUUAACAUUGGGAGAGAGCAUGACUCAAUUUUAUUCAAAAUCUCAUCAAGAAAGAGGGGGGAUAGAGAGUGGUCCGCAGGACCGUAGACCACCAAAACUUCCCAAAGAGAGUUAAGCUGUCGAUGAAAUAAAACAGAACUCGCCCAAAAGACACCAUGAUCAAAGGCAACAAAGUAAAAAACGUCCCUCUUGGAUCCAAUAAGGAUACCACCCGAGUGUCCAGAAGAAGGUAAAUAGUGCCAAUCAAAUCUAUCGGCCCCCGCCACCGCAGAAAACUCAUUAGAAGAAAAGGAUUCCUUGAAAGUUUCAACAAGCCCAAUCAAGUCUACAUUCUCACCUCGAACAAUAUCUCUAAUUUGAUCCCAACGCCCUGGAGCGCCGAAACCUCUAAUAUUCCAGAAUAGGGCUCUCAUUUUCAGAAAGAUUUGAAUGCGAAGGCUCGACCUGCACGGGGCCACGCCGUAUAGCAGAAGCCGAAGGAUCCUAGCCUCUACCAGAAUUCUCCACCAAAGGCACGGCCGCCGCGGGGGCAGGAGCACGAGAGGCGGCGGCCUCCUUGGCCUUAGCAAUGGCAACUUGCGCGAUCUCAUUAGCCCGAACCAAAGAAAGGAUAGAAGCAGGAGAACCAACAGCGUCAUGAAAAGUAACCCCAACAUCCGGCAGUACCUUAACUAAGUGUGAGUCAGGAAGAGACGAAAGCUACUCCGCAUGCGCAGCCACCGGCUCGCCACUGUCCCUAACCCUGCGCCCCUUCCUAGCCGUGGAGGCCGGAGAGCGAAUCGACGGAGUGCGUGCGGUAGGCGAAGGCAUGGCAGCACCCGAAGCAGAACCAGAAGCCGCACCCAGAUCCGCGUCCAGCCGACGACAUAGCCGAGUGAUCGACUGCUUGGAGCCAGACGACGCCCUACUCUUGGCCGAGAACUUCUAAACCGAGGACUUCUUCUUCUUGCUCACAGGAACAUCGACUCGAGGGGGGAGGGAGGCAGGUCCUCUUGCCCACUGUUCAUGUUGGUGUUAUCUUUUGGAUGCCAACUCGAAAGCGCAAACUAGUUAUGCGAGUCCUCGCUGACCACACAACCAAACUUGCAUCCCCAUCCACCGGCACAACCCACAACCCUGCCCGAACUCAUUUGACCAUACGUUAGACCCACUCUGUGACUGCACCAACUCACUUGACCACACAUAGACCCACUCUGUGAGGCCACGAGCAAUGGGUUGGCGCUAAAUACAAGGCAGCAAGCAGGAGCAGUGAGGCGACGACGGAGCUGCCGGCAGUGAUCACCGGAUUCGCCACUGAGACAAGGGGUUGAUGGUCGGGUUACAAGGUAGGAAGGACAAACCUUGUUGGUUUACCCUUCCUAGUUGAAUAUUGGUCACAUAAGCUAUACAUGUCCACUUAACAAGUGGAUCUAGCUUGUCAAAACUUGCGCAAAGUGUUAAAUUGGAUUAAAUUCGACACACUACGACAAAUUUGAGGUAAGAGUUGGCUGGAAAUUUUAAAUGAUGCAAGCACUAUCUCAAAUGUGCAAAGAUAGGGUAAGAUGCUAUACCACGACUAUAUCUAACUAUUUGAAAUAAUAGUUCUAUUCGCCAAAAUUUAUAUUCCCCAAACACCACUUUGCCGUUUCUAUCUCUCUCUCCGUUGUUGGAUGUUGGUCCCCUUCCAUGUCUUCUUUACGACAUACUUAAGUGUAAAUUUGAGCAAAAUUAGAAAAAAAUCAGCAUAUCAAAGGGUAGUGUUGGACGAUCUAUUUCUCCUUCUUUAUAUAUGUUCUAAAAACGUGCAUAUAUCGCAUGCGACUAUAGCUUGUCUAGUUUGAAAAAUAUACAACUGAUCUGUUAACCGACAUAGUUGUUUGGAAACUCGAUUAACCAUUAGAUAUCAGGAAUUAAUGUUCGGCCGUCGAUUUAACUAGAAAUAACAACUUCUCCAUCGGGUUAGACAAUUCUAUUGAUCAAUAUAUAAUACGGAGGGAAAUACAUGUGAUAACAUUUUAGAGACUAAAAGGUAGGCCAUGCCACCUUUAUUUAGGAGAAAGACACUCACUUUAUUCCUCGAAUAAAAUGUUUAUAGGUAUUACAUUAGGAUUAUUCCGGUUCAAAAAUCAGACAUUGCGACCCUAAGGUAGAGAAAGAGUGUGUUACGCUAAGCUAUUAUCCUCAGCAAUUAAAAGGCGUCCUUCAUGAACAAAGGAGCAAGAAAUAAAAGAUAAAGCUUGGUGGUUGAUCUCGUGGAUGAUGUUUGCAUUACUUCGUGAAGAGCCCUUUUUAUCAGACCAGUAACCACACUUUUGAAGUACAUGUUCAAACAUUCUCAAAAUUUUGCAGACACACAUCAAUGUUUGAUGUACAACCUCAAAAUGUUUCAGCCCCUAAUUCAACUCACAUUAAUAGAAACAAAAAAGACAAAAUUGCAUGUGAAUAGUGUCACAUUCGGUUUUGUCUUUUUUGAAUCUCCAUAGUUUUGAGCUGAUUUUUUUUGGAGUUGUAGACAUACCCCACAUGGAUGUUGCCAAAUAAUUUCAGAUUUUUCUGAAAUGUUUAAAUUUUUUUUGGGGUUGAUAUCACGAUCUCACCUAAAUGUGAGAUCUUAUACAAGUCUUCCCCACAAUUUGUGGCAAUCAACCCUGGACAACAGUAGGUCUGCAGCCAAAGAGAGCCCUUCACACCAUGCCAUUGUCUCAAGUAUGUCGGGAUCAUUAAGCCCUUCAAUCAUCACUGCUGAAGAGCCUAGGUAGGAACCAUAUCCCUCCCGCGCCGCCACCCAUGAGGCGGUCGGGGUGGGCUCCUCGAUUCCCUCCUCUAGCCCCCCUCUGCUUCGCUACUCCUCCCUCGCCGCCUCCAGUGGGAGCGGCUGGGCGAAGCCCGACCGGCGCCGGCAGGGUUCGGUCUUCCUCUCGCGCGGUGGGGUGGCGCGGGCCGCCUUCUUCGGGCCAGGCGCGGUGCGAGCGCGAGGUACCGCGGCGCAGCGGCGCGCCGGUGUGCUGCUUCAGCAUGGGCGUGGCAAGGGAGAGAAGGGCCGUGUGGCGGCCUGAUCUGGCUGGUUGGUGGCGCCGGCCGCGGCGGGGUGGGCCUGAGGCGGAUGAUCUGCCUCCCGGUGGGAGGGGCCGAUAGCGGUGCGUACUGGCUGAGUUCAAGACGGGAUCUCCCUGGUCCAGAUCCUGGACGAAGGUGGGCAGUGCGUGAUGGCCAUCCUGUGAGCUCUCUUGGCUGCAUGUGAGGGCUGGCUUUGUUGUUCUUGUUGAUGGGUGUGCGGGCGUUCGUGUCCUCACAUCGAGCUGCUUGGGCGGCCACGGUCAGGGGACACGAGGGUGCGUCCGAGGGGAGUUUUCAGGAGGGAUGGGAUGGGCGACCGAUGUGGUGGGGCCACCUGUCACUGAUGUAGGGGUGCACCGGCCUAGAUGCGUUCGCUCUUCCUCCCCCUCUUUCCUCGGCUGGGUGCCUUCUAGUGAAGCUCUGGCGAUGUUCAAGGCAGGGCGGUCGUUGGCUGCUCCAUCGGUCAACAGAUAUAGGCCAGGCCAAAGCCAAGGCCGUUGGGUGUUCAUGGGGUAGCUGAUGACCCACAAGUAUAGUGGAUCAAUCAUAGUCCUUUCGAUAAGUAAGAGUGUCGAACCCAACGAGGAGCAGAAGGAAAUGACAAGUGGUUUUCAGCAAGGUAUUGUCUGCAAGCACUGAAAUUAUAAGUAACGAGUAGUUUGACAGCAAGAUAAUUUGUAACGAGCAAGUAACGGUGACGGUAACAAAAGUGCAGCAAGGCAGACCAAUCCUUUUGAGGCAAAGGACAGGCCAAAACAGUCUCUUAUAAUAAGCAAAGCGUUCUUGAUGGUACACGUGAAUUUCAUCUAGUCACUUUCAUCAUGUUG